GAGACACCCUUACGGGGCAGGACUUGCUUCAGUGGGGCUUUGGUGCUCACUGAAUCUGCCCCCUGAGUGAGUCUCU
This 76-nucleotide microRNA precursor is filed under the name Myotis lucifugus (little brown bat). Its description in RNAcentral is "mir-9229 microRNA precursor family". It matches the Rfam family "mir-9229 microRNA precursor family". The record is from Rfam by way of RNAcentral. Lineage: Eukaryota; Metazoa; Chordata; Mammalia; Chiroptera; Vespertilionidae.